This is a long non-coding RNA of Trifolium pratense (red clover), 1507 nucleotides long. RefSeq lists it as uncharacterized. The record is from RefSeq and is a predicted model, not a curated record. NCBI's taxonomy places the organism in Eukaryota, Viridiplantae, Streptophyta, Magnoliopsida, Fabales, Fabaceae. The transcript is spliced from 6 exons.
AGCAUGCGAGUGAUUUUCUUCAUUUGGGUAACAAACAUGUUGCUCCUUUCUCUGCUGCAAGCUCCUUUCCCUGAUCUAGGUUUCAAAUUCAAAUUUCAAAUCCCCCUCAAAAUGUCUUUUGUGGCAUCUCUAUUUGCACACACAAUCUCUCUCCCUCUUCUACCUUCAUUCAAUACAUGCCAAUCUCUCUGCGUCCAUUUCUCUGCUUCAUCUCCCAGAAUCUAGAUAACAAUUUUUUUCUCUCUUUGUUUUCACUUUGGUACAGAUUAACUUCCAUUAUUAAUGAUUAGUUAAUGUGUUAUUUUCCUCACAGAUUCACACUUCCAUCGCAAUUUUCAGUUUUUAUUGUUUGUUCAGGUUCACAAUUAGAGUUUGAUUGGGCCAAAAGAUUUGUAGACUAUUUGGCUACUUUGGUCCUCUAAAUGCAGUUUUCGUGCCUCAUGAUGAUUAUAUUAGAGUGAGUCACUUCAUUUCAGGCCAUGUUAUUCAGUCUCAUGGAACUAAACUCUUAGAUGCAGCAUGCAGCCGCCUCAGUUGUAGAAAAUUUGGGACUGUAUUAUAUUUCAAGAAUCGAUAUACAUUUUGUUUGCAAGCUAAAUUCACCUGAAACUUCUGUUUUAAAGGCUUUGGAUUGCGCAAUCUUGAUAAAUUUGUUUUUUACUUGCAGGCUUUACCCGGUCUGCAGUUGACUUCACUUAACAGAGUUAUUGUCCAGAGCAUGAAUGGGAAGAAAAGACAUGAAAUGAGUCCUUGAUUAUCGUAUUUUAUAGUUGCCUUCUUUAUAUUACUAGAUGUUGCUUUGGACCUAUGGUUUUAGACAGGAAAGUUAACAUAUAUUGAUUCAUUUUCUUUUGCAUCUAGAAAUUUAUUGCCCUAAAAUAUUCCAUAUAAAAACAUUUCAUGUGUGCAUGUAGAAGCUCCUUUUGCUGUUGUAAGUACAGUUGCAGAGAGUGUGAGAGCUCAUGCCAUUGUUGAUGUUGCUGCUGGUCAGCAAAAUGACAUACCUAUGAUUCCUAUAAGAUGCUCAGAAAAUAUGAAGUUCUUCUAUUUUGUUUACAAAUUGAGACAAGAAAGUGCAGAUAGUAUAUGGCUCACUACCUUUUGAUCUUGAGGCUGGUCAUAAGAUACUACCAAAUAUAAUUCCCUGGAAUUUUCUCUCAGAGUUAUCCACACUAAUCGAGAAGGAGGUUGCCAAGUCAAUGACCAUAAUAGAAAACAACUCAAACUGGGAAGGGUUAGCUAAUGAAGAGCUUUGCAUAGAAACUGAUUAUUUAGCUAUUCUUGACAGCACUUCUGUUGUAUGGCUACUUUGUUAUCAAUUUAGUUAUGUAAACAUCUUGGUUGCUAAUCUGUUGAGGUGUACAAUUUUAUUUUUUCAAUUUUUAGUGCAACUUAUACAGUGGAAUUGUUGACUGGAAAAGAUUAUGUAAGUAUAUUUUAAGGUUGUUUUAAGUCUUUUACUAAAAGUGAAGUGAAGAAAUUUCAAGUUAUCCCAAUCUAUGGAAAC